UUGGGGAUAUAGCUCAGUGGUAGAGUGCUUGCCUACCAUGUAAGAGACCCUAGGUUCAAUCCCUAGCACUAAA
Molecule: transfer RNA, 73 nt
Filed under: Ictidomys tridecemlineatus (thirteen-lined ground squirrel)
Lineage: Eukaryota; Metazoa; Chordata; Mammalia; Rodentia; Sciuridae
Description: tRNA-Gly (ACC) (tRNA-Gly-ACC-4-1)
Rfam family: tRNA (bases 10-66)
About the family: Transfer RNA (tRNA) molecules are approximately 80 nucleotides in length. Their secondary structure includes four short double-helical elements and three loops (D, anti-codon, and T loops).
Source: RNAcentral